RNAcentral lists this transfer RNA (87 nucleotides) under Camelus bactrianus (Bactrian camel). It matches the Rfam family "tRNA". Rfam says of the family: Transfer RNA (tRNA) molecules are approximately 80 nucleotides in length. Lineage: Eukaryota; Metazoa; Chordata; Mammalia; Artiodactyla; Camelidae. RNAcentral also lists the same sequence under 2 other names. The record is from Rfam by way of RNAcentral.
GGAGGUAUAGCUCAAGUGGUAGAGCAGAGCACAUGUUUAGCAUGCUCAGCAUGCUCAAGGUCCUGGGUUCAAUUCCCAGUACCUCUU